RNAcentral lists this transfer RNA (82 nucleotides) under Apopellia endiviifolia. RNAcentral describes it as "tRNA-Tyr". The record is from RNAcentral. Lineage: Eukaryota; Viridiplantae; Streptophyta; Jungermanniopsida; Pelliales; Pelliaceae.
UGCAGUCGCGUGUUCCUGUUAAAAGAAGCGACUGUAAAUCUGCUGAAGGUUUUCUACGUAGGUUCAAGAACUCAGAGGAAAA